This 484-nucleotide ribosomal RNA is filed under the name uncultured bacterium. Its description in RNAcentral is "partial 16S ribosomal RNA". It matches the Rfam family "Bacterial small subunit ribosomal RNA", at positions 28 to 523 of the family's 1533-position model. The record is from RNAcentral.
GAUGAACGCUGGCGGCGUGCUUAACACAUGCAAGUCGAACGGUGAAGCAGGAGCUUGCUCUUGUGGAUCAGUGGCGAACGGGUGAGUAACACGUGAGCAACCUGCCCCUGGCUCUGGGAUAAGCGCUGGAAACGGCGUCUAAUACUGGAUAUGUGAUGUGACCGCAUGGUCUGCAUCUGGAAAGAAUUUCGGUUGGGGAUGGGCUCGCGGCCUAUCAGCUUGUUGGUGAGGUAAUGGCUCACCAAGGCGUCGACGGGUAGCCGGCCUGAGAGGGUGACCGGCCACACUUGGACUGGGACACGGCCCAGACUCCUACGGGGGGCAGCAGUGGGGAAUAUUGCACAAUGGGCGGAAGCCUGAUGCAGCAACGCCGCGUGAGGGAUGACGGCCUUCGGGUUGUAAACCUCUUUCAGCAGGGAAGAAGCGAAAGUGACGGUACCUGCAGAAAAAGCACCGGCUAACUACGUGCCAGCCGCCGCCGUAA